GCUUUAACAUGGAGGUACCUGCU
RNAcentral lists this non-coding RNA (23 nucleotides) under Alligator mississippiensis (American alligator). RNAcentral also lists the same sequence under 3 other names. The record is from RNAcentral. Lineage: Eukaryota; Metazoa; Chordata; Crocodylia; Alligatoridae.